This 530-nucleotide ribosomal RNA is filed under the name uncultured bacterium. RNAcentral describes it as "bacterial SSU rRNA". It matches the Rfam family "Bacterial small subunit ribosomal RNA", at positions 978 to 1509 of the family's 1533-position model. The record is from RNAcentral.
UACUUGACAUCCAGCGAACUUUCCAGAGAUGGAUUGGUGCCUUCGGGAACGCUGAGACAGGUGCUGCAUGGCUGUCGUCAGCUCGUGUUGUGAAAUGUUGGGUUAAGUCCGCAACGAGCGCAACCCUUAUCCUUUGUUGCCAGCGAUUCGGUCGGGAACUCAAAGGAGACUGCCGGUGAUAAACCGGAGGAAGGUGGGGAUGACGUCAAGUCAUCAUGGCCCUUACGAGUAGGGCUACACACGUGCUACAAUGGCGCAUACAAAGAGAAGCGACCUCGCGAGAGCAAGCGGACCUCAUAAAGUGCGUCGUAGUCCGGAUCGGAGUCUGCAACUCGACUCCGUGAAGUCGGAAUCGCUAGUAAUCGUGGAUCAGAAUGCCACGGUGAAUACGUUCCCGGGCCUUGUACACACCGCCCGUCACACCAUGGGAGUGGGUUGCAAAAGAAGUAGGUAGCUUAACCCUCGGGAGGGCGCUUACCACUUUGUGAUUCAUGACUGGGGUGAAGUCGUAACAAGGUAAGCGUACGUGU